GAGACCGGCGCACGGGUGCGUAACGCGUAUGCAAUCUACCUUUCACAAAGGGAUAGCCCAGAGAAAUUUGGAUUAAUACCUUAUAGUAUAUAUGAAUGGCAUCAUUUAUAUAUUAAAGAUUUAUCGGUGAAAGAUGAGCAUGCGUCCCAUUAGCUAGUUGGUAAGGUAACGGCUUACCAAGGCAACGAUGGGUAGGGGUCCUGAGAGGGAGAUCCCCCACACUGGUACUGAGACACGGACCAGACUCCUACGGGAGGCAGCAGUGAGGAAUAUUGGACAAUGGGCGCAAGCCUGAUCCAGCCAUGCCGCGUGCAGGAUGACGGUCCUAUGGGUUGUAAACUGCUUUUAUACGAGAAGAAACCCUCCGACGUGUCGGAGCUUGACGGUAUCGUAAGAAUAAGGAUCGGCUAACUCCGUGCCAGCAGCCGCGGUAAUACGGAGGAUCCAAGCGUUAUCCGGAAUCAUUGGGUUUAAAGGGUCCGUAG
This 485-nucleotide ribosomal RNA is filed under the name uncultured Flavobacterium sp. Its description in RNAcentral is "bacterial SSU rRNA". It matches the Rfam family "Bacterial small subunit ribosomal RNA", at positions 91 to 574 of the family's 1533-position model. Lineage: Bacteria; Pseudomonadati; Bacteroidota; Flavobacteriia; Flavobacteriales; Flavobacteriaceae. The record is from RNAcentral.